This 429-nucleotide ribosomal RNA is filed under the name uncultured bacterium. Its description in RNAcentral is "bacterial SSU rRNA". It matches the Rfam family "Bacterial small subunit ribosomal RNA", at positions 355 to 774 of the family's 1533-position model. The record is from RNAcentral.
UGAGGAAUCUUGCGCAAUGGGGGAAACCCUGACGCAGCCAUGCCGCGUGGGUGAAGAAGGCCUUCGGGUCGUAAAGCCCUGUCAGGAGGGAAGAACCUCCUUCGGUCGAACAGGCCGUAAGGACUGACGGUACCUCCAAAGGAAGCACCGGCUAACUCCGUGCCAGCAGCCGCGGUAAUACGGAGGGUGCAAGCGUUGUUCGGAAUUACUGGGCGUAAAGGGUGUGCAGGCGGCCGGAUAAGUCCUAUGGGAAAUCCCUGGGCUCAACCCAGGACGUGCAUGGGAUACUGUCCGGCUUGAGUCCCGGAGAGGGGGGUGGAAUUCCCGGUGUAGAGGUGAAAUUCGUGGAUAUCGGGAGGAACACCAGUGGCGAAGGCGACCCCCUGGACGGAGACUGACGCUGAGACACGAAAGCGUGGGGAGCAAACA